AGGAAUUGGCGGGGGAGCACCACAACGCGUGGAGCNUGCGGUUUAAUUGGAUUCAACGCCGGACAUCUCACCAGAGGCGACAGCUGUAUGAUAGCCAGGUUGAUGACUUUGCUUGACUAGCUGAGAGGAGGUGCAUGGCCGCCGUCAGCUCGUACCGUGAGGCGUCCUGUUAAGUCAGGCAACGAGCGAGACCCACGCCCUUAGUUACCAGCUUAUCCUUUUUUGGAUGAUGGGCACACUAAGGGGACCGCCUAUGAUAAAUAGGAGGAAGGAGUGGACGACAGUAGGUCCGUAUGCCCCGAAUCCUCUGGGCAACACGCGGGCUACAAUGGCUGAGACAAUGGGUUCCGACACCGAAAGGUGGAGGUAAUCCUCUAAACUUAGUCGUAGUUCGGAUUGAGGACUGUAACUCGUUCUCAUGAAGCUGGAAUGCGUAGUAAUCGCGUGUCACAAUCGCGCGGUGAAUACGUCCCUGCUCCUUGCACACACCGC
RNAcentral lists this ribosomal RNA (492 nucleotides) under uncultured archaeon. RNAcentral's name for it is "bacterial SSU rRNA". It matches the Rfam family "Archaeal small subunit ribosomal RNA", at positions 860 to 1349 of the family's 1478-position model. The record is from RNAcentral.